This 482-nucleotide ribosomal RNA is filed under the name uncultured bacterium. Its description in RNAcentral is "partial 16S ribosomal RNA". It matches the Rfam family "Bacterial small subunit ribosomal RNA", at positions 30 to 507 of the family's 1533-position model. The record is from RNAcentral.
AUUGAACGCUGGUGGCAUGCUUUACACAUGCAAGUCGAACGGUAACAGGCCGCAAGGUGCUGACGAGUGGCGCACGGGUGCGUAAUGCAUCGGAACGUGCCCAGUCGUGGGGGAUAACUACUCGAAAGAGUAGCUAAUACCGCAUACGAUCUAUGGAUGAAAGCGGGGGACCGUAAGGCCUCGCGCGAUUGGAGCGGCCGAUGUCAGAUUAGGUAGUUGGUGGGGUAAAGGCUCACCAAGCCAACGAUCUGUAGCUGGUCUGAGAGGACGACCAGCCACACUGGGACUGAGACACGGCCCAGACUCCUACGGGAGGCAGCAGUGGGGAAUUUUGGACAAAGGGCGCAAGCCUGAUCCAGCAAUGCCGCGUGCAGGAAGAAGGCCUUCGGGUUGUAAACUGCUCUUGUACGGAACGAAACGGCUCUGGUUAAUACCCGGGGCUAAUGACGGUACCGUAAGAAUAAGCACCGGCUAACUACGUG